UGGGAUUCUUCCUCAGGUAGAUAGCCAAUC
Molecule: non-coding RNA, 30 nt
Filed under: Mus musculus (house mouse)
Lineage: Eukaryota; Metazoa; Chordata; Mammalia; Rodentia; Muridae
Source: RNAcentral